Herpailurus yagouaroundi (jaguarundi) is the source of this 426-nucleotide long non-coding RNA. RefSeq lists it as uncharacterized. The record is from RefSeq and is a predicted model, not a curated record. The transcript is spliced from 3 exons. Lineage: Eukaryota; Metazoa; Chordata; Mammalia; Carnivora; Felidae.
CCUCCCACGCAGACUCCAGGCUUGGCCCUCGGAAGCAAGACACAAGCACAGGCUAGAGGAGCACUUGUGCUCUUGAAAAGAUGGAGAAUGAGAGGCCGACGUGAACAUGACAGCCCCAGUCAAGCUCCAAGCUGAACGAGGCUGCAAGUAUGACCUCAGCUUCCCCCACGCAGCGAAGAACCACCACCCUACUGAGCCCCAUCAACCUCCACAGUAGCCUGCUGUCAUUUCCUGAAACACAUGCUUGCUCCUGCCAAAGCCUUUGCACCUGUGGUCUCUUCUUCCUAGAAUGUUCUACUCAACCCCAGGCAGAAGUUGGAGAAUAAGGAAGUUAAGAAGUAAUGCAGUUGCUAUGACCACACGUUGGAACUUGUAGUGCCAGGCAAUCUACAAUGUUGACAGCUACUGAUUGGCCUCUGUUACCCC